GCAGGCUAUGCGCCACGGACCGGCCGGCAGCCGACUCGAGCUCGCCGGCCUUCAGGCGAGCGCGCACCUGGGCGGCGUUCGGGUCGUCGAGCUCGUC
This 97-nucleotide transfer RNA is filed under the name Amycolatopsis sp. NBRC 101858. Its description in RNAcentral is "tRNA-Ser". Lineage: Bacteria; Bacillati; Actinomycetota; Actinomycetes; Pseudonocardiales; Pseudonocardiaceae. The record is from RNAcentral.